CCUAGUAACGGCGAGUGAAGCGGCAACAGCUCAAAUUUGAAAUCUGGCCUCCUUUCGGGGUCCGAGUUGUAAUUUGUAGAGGGCGCUUUGGCAUUGGCUGUGGUCUAAGUUCCUUGGAACAGGACGUCGCAGAGGGUGAGAAUCCCGUAUGUGGCCGCCAGUCUUUGCCGUGUAAAGCCCCUUCGACGAGUCGAGUUGUUUGGGAAUGCAGCUCUAAAUGGGAGGUAAAUUUCUUCUAAAGCUAAAUACUGGCCAGAGACCGAUAGCGCACAAGUAGAGUGAUCGAAAGAUGAAAAGCACUUUGGAAAGAGAGUCAAAAAGCACGUGAAAUUGUUGAAAGGGAAGCGCUUGCAGCCAGACGUGCCCGCAGUUUUCUGUGGGCAGGCCAGCAUCAGUCCGGGCGGUUGGACAAAUGACCUUUAAAUGUGCCUCCCCUCGGGGAGAACUUAUAGGGAGGUUGUCAUGCAACCAGCCCGGACUGAGGUCCGCGCAUCUGCUAGGAUGCUGGCGUAAUGGCUUUAAGCGGCCCGUCUU
RNAcentral lists this ribosomal RNA (534 nucleotides) under Amorosia littoralis. RNAcentral describes it as "partial 28S ribosomal RNA". It matches the Rfam family "Eukaryotic large subunit ribosomal RNA", at positions 79 to 655 of the family's 3401-position model. The record is from RNAcentral. Lineage: Eukaryota; Fungi; Ascomycota; Dothideomycetes; Pleosporales; Amorosiaceae.